RNAcentral lists this long non-coding RNA (425 nucleotides) under Lepisosteus oculatus (spotted gar). Its description in RNAcentral is "lncRNA (ENSLOCG00000023117.1)". The record is from RNAcentral. Lineage: Eukaryota; Metazoa; Chordata; Actinopteri; Semionotiformes; Lepisosteidae.
GUGCCUCCGGGGUCAGGAGCUUGCGCUCGUUCCAGAGCGUAGCGCAGGGCUGAGGGGAUCGACUCAUUGGCUGGGCAGGAUACUCCCCAGCCAGGACGGUUGUCUAGGAGGCACGCCUAUGCCGCCCUGAACAGGGCGCACACCCUUUGGGGGUCUCUUGCUGAGAUCAGGCAGGCACAUACCAUCAGGAGGGACUUCUAAGGUGCACCAGAGAUCAGGCCGAGGGAGUCAUCUGCAGAGUCCGGAUCCAAAACGGAUCCUCUUCCGCACUCGGAGGCCCACACAGGGGCAGCGCUCCCAGCUGCAGCCCUACAGGACUGGAAACAACGGGAACAGGAAGGACUCUGCUGGGAAGCUGGAAGGUGGCUCGGGAGUGGAGUGGAAACCACUUCAAAGAAGCAGUCUUGCUGAAUCAUGGCCCGUUG